RNAcentral lists this ribosomal RNA (440 nucleotides) under uncultured bacterium. Its description in RNAcentral is "bacterial SSU rRNA". It matches the Rfam family "Bacterial small subunit ribosomal RNA", at positions 338 to 770 of the family's 1533-position model. The record is from RNAcentral.
CCUACGGGUGGCUGCAGUGGGGAAUAUUGGACAAUGGGCGCAAGCCUGAUCCAGCCAUGCCGCGUGUGUGAAGAAGGCUCUAGGGUUGUAAAGCACUUUCAGUGGGGAGGAUAAGUUAUCGGCUAAUACCCGGUAAUGCAGACGUUACCCACAGAAGAAGCACCGGCAAACUCCGUGCCAGCAGCCGCGGUAAUACGGAGGGUGCGAGCGUUAAUCGGAAUUACUGGGCGUAAAGCGCGCGUAGGCGGUUUGAUAAGCUGGAUGUGAAAUCCCCGGGCUCAACCUGGGAACUGCAUCCAGAACUGUCUGACUAGAGUACAGUAGAGGGUGGCGGAAUUUCCUGUGUAGCGGUGAAAUGCGUAGAUAUAGGAAGGAACAUCAGUGGCGAAGGCGGCCACCUGGACUGAUACUGACGCUGAGGUGCGAAAGCGUGGGGAGCA